Acanthosepion pharaonis is the source of this 111-nucleotide non-coding RNA. The record is from the annotation of a GenBank genome assembly. Lineage: Eukaryota; Metazoa; Mollusca; Cephalopoda; Sepiida; Sepiidae.
UGGCAAUAUCACAUUAAAACAUCAGUCCUUGUCCAAUCACUGAAGUUAAGCAAUGUUGAGCCUGGUCAGUACUUAGAUAUGUAACUGCUUGGGAAUACCAGGUGUUGUAGG